UCUAGAAUUCUCUGUUCCUACUCCUCUCCUUCUCCUUCUCUCUGUCCCGCCAUUUCCACCUCUGGUAAACUCAAAACCCUAACUCUCUCUUCCUCCUUCCUCCCUUCUUACUCAUUAACCACCACCUCCGCUUCUCAAUCCACUCGUCGCUCCUUCACCGUCCGCGCCGCUCGUGGAAAGUUCGAGAGGAAGAAGCCUCAUGUCAACAUCGGAACCAUCGGUCAUGUUGACCAU
This 234-nucleotide long non-coding RNA is filed under the name Arabidopsis thaliana (thale cress). RNAcentral describes it as "long non-coding RNA (ATHA_LNC000280)". The record is from RNAcentral. Lineage: Eukaryota; Viridiplantae; Streptophyta; Magnoliopsida; Brassicales; Brassicaceae.